Melanotaenia boesemani (Boeseman's rainbowfish) is the source of this 693-nucleotide long non-coding RNA. RefSeq lists it as uncharacterized. The transcript has 2 exons. Lineage: Eukaryota; Metazoa; Chordata; Actinopteri; Atheriniformes; Melanotaeniidae. The record is from RefSeq and is a predicted model, not a curated record.
GCUACGGCUAGCAUGCUAGCAGCAGCAGGUGCCCCAUCACGUCUGCCUUCACCGGGGAAGCCGCGGGCCGCCCAUCGGAAACGGGAGACGAGCAGAGUCAGGCCAUCUGAAACCUUGGUAGACACCAUGUUCAUCAGGGAAAGCUAACCGGAUUGCUGAGACAACACAUGCUGGAAGAGGUUUCCUCACAUGUCGUCCAAGCACUCCAUGUGCCCAGCGUACCAUCUGCCUGUAGGCAGUAUACCUGAACUGUUCAUUUUGGGUCAGAUCAAGUGGACCAUGUUCCUGCUUGAAAGCGCUGUAGGCCACCUGAAGCACCCAGGGGUUCAAACAGCAUGCAGAGAACCCAGGAUGCUGUCCCACACAAGUAAUGCCUUCGGGUUGUGGAUGGAGGUCUUCGACGAGGCUCCAAAUUGCAGGAAUCUCCCUGCAGCAUAUGCUCUCCUCCGCACUGCUCAUGGGCUGACAGUGUCCACAUAAACACCUGUAAUUAGAUAACAUGCUGUUAAAGAAUUUCUGUUGUUAAAUGUAGAUACAGUGUUGUAAAUAUAUGUUCAACCAUGUAAAGAUUUUUAUUUUUUUUACUUUUACAUACAGGCUUUAAAAAUUAAAUGUUUAUAUUUCAUCCGUAGUCAUAGCUGCUUAUAACAUGCUGAAACAUUUAAUGUAAUACAUAAAGCUGAGAUGCCCUUU